RNAcentral lists this ribosomal RNA (484 nucleotides) under uncultured bacterium. RNAcentral describes it as "partial 16S ribosomal RNA". It matches the Rfam family "Bacterial small subunit ribosomal RNA", at positions 30 to 507 of the family's 1533-position model. The record is from RNAcentral.
AUUGAACGCUGGCGGCAGGCCUAACACAUGCAAGUCGAGCGGAUGAAGGGAGCUUGCUCCUGGAUUCAGCGGCGGACGGGUGAGUAAUGCCUAGGAAUCUGCCUGGUAGUGGGGGAUAACGUCCGGAAACGGGCGCUAAUACCGCAUACGUCCUGAGGGAGAAAGUGGGGGAUCUUCGGACCUCACGCUAUCAGAUGAGCCUAGGUCGGAUUAGCUAGUUGGUGGGGUAAAGGCCUACCAAGGCGACGAUCCGUAACUGGUCUGAGAGGAUGAUCAGGCACACUGGGACUGAAACACGGUCCAGGCUCCUACGGGAGGCAGCAGUGGGGAAUGUUGGACGAUGGGCGGAAGCCUGAUCCAGCCAUGCCGCGUGUGUGAAGAAGGUCUUCGGAUUGUAAAGCACUUUUAGUUGGGAGGAAGGGCAGUAAGUUGAUACCUUGCUGUUUUGACGUUACCAACAGAAGAAGCACCGGCUAACUUCGUG